RNAcentral lists this small RNA (544 nucleotides) under Pan troglodytes (chimpanzee). Its description in RNAcentral is "processed transcript". Lineage: Eukaryota; Metazoa; Chordata; Mammalia; Primates; Hominidae. The record is from RNAcentral.
GUGUAGAUGGAGGCUUCUGGAAGGCUAUGGUCUGGGGGUGUCUUAUUCACCCAACAGCUGUUGGCUCUGGUGAGCAGCACAUCCUGCCAGGGAACUCUGACCAGGCCUGCAGAGCCCACCUGGGAGCAGGCGGGAGUCAGCAUGGGCUCGCAGCCUAUCCUGGAGCCUCGCCGACCUGUUUCCUCCUCAGGCCAAGGAUGACAUGCAAUUUUAACUGACACCAGGCCUGUGGUCUGAUAUCCAGAGUUGCCCAGAAAAGGAGUUGCUAGUUUUACCUGAUAUUUAUGGUCUAAAAACGACCUACCUGGAAUCCCUCUGGAAUCCCUCCUCCUGUGGCUUCAGGCAUUAUCCUAUCUCUGACCCUCUCUUCUGCCUCUCUCGGCCAUAUUGAAGACCCUUGUGAUUUCAUUGGGGCCACCUGGAUACUCCAGGCUAAUCUCCGUAUUUUAAGGUGUGGAUAUGGUCAAAAGCCAAGUUCAUCAAUAGGAAAUUCCUAAUGCAGGAACUUUACCAGCGCUUUCUAGAUGGAGAUCACGGCCCUGUG